This 444-nucleotide ribosomal RNA is filed under the name uncultured bacterium. RNAcentral's name for it is "bacterial SSU rRNA". It matches the Rfam family "Bacterial small subunit ribosomal RNA", at positions 534 to 981 of the family's 1533-position model. The record is from RNAcentral.
CCAGGCGUUAUCCGGAUUUAUUGGGUUUAAAGGGAGCGUAGGCUGGAGAUUAAGUGUGUUGUGAAAUGUAGACGCUCAACGUCUGAAUUGCAGCGCAUACUGGUUUCCUUGAGUACGCACAACGUUGGCGGAAUUCGUCGUGUAGCGGUGAAAUGCUUAGAUAUGACGAAGAACUCCGAUUGCGAAGGCAGCUGACGGGAGCGCAACUGACGCUUAAGCUCGAAGGUGCGGGUAUCAAACAGGAUUAGAUACCCUGGUAGUCCGCACAGUAAACGAUGGAUGCCCGCUGKUGGUACCUGGUAUCAGCGGCUAAGCGAAAGCAUUAAGCAUCCCACCUGGGGAGUACGCCGGCAACGGUGAAACUCAAAGGAAUUGACGGGGGCCCGCACAAGCGGAGGAACAUGUGGUUUAAUUCGAUGAUACGCGAGGAACCUUACCCGGGCU